UUACAAAGGCUAAUGUUUUAUAAAAAGUCAUUUCAUGGAUCAGGACUCUGCGAGAUCAACUUUCGAAGAUAAACGAAUCGAUAAGGAAAAGGUGUAAUAAUGUUAAAUAAACAGGCGCUUGGUCUAAAUAAUGAUUACUUGCUAGUUUCCUUAAAUUUACAAUUAAUUGACUUGAAGCCAAUUUUAAACAAGUGUUUUCAACGUUAAGUGUUUUAGUUUAUCAAUUUACAAAUGAAGGAAUACUCAAGACAUAUUUUAUGACCCAGCCAAACCUGUAGUUCAUCCUAUUCAAAAAGGUUAAGGCAAUUGAACAACUUGCGCCCUUAAUACUAAGUAGCCGUAAGAUAUAUCAUACGAUGUUCCAUGAAAAAAUAUUUAUAUCCACGCAGAAUUACAGUCAUGUAAGUUUUUUAGGAAAGAGUAAAGGCACCUAUUCUUUUAAUACAAUGUCUCCCAAAUA
This is a non-coding RNA of Schizosaccharomyces pombe (fission yeast), 460 nucleotides long. Lineage: Eukaryota; Fungi; Ascomycota; Schizosaccharomycetes; Schizosaccharomycetales; Schizosaccharomycetaceae. The record is from the annotation of a GenBank genome assembly.